Molecule: non-coding RNA, 801 nt
Organism: Danio rerio (zebrafish)
Lineage: Eukaryota; Metazoa; Chordata; Actinopteri; Cypriniformes; Danionidae
Source: Ensembl
AUACGUGCGCCGCGUUCGGUUUGCGACCAUAACAACGCCUGAUAACCCUCACUUUUUUUUCGAUAUUUUUAAAUAAAGGGAUAUUAAUUUCAGAAUCUGUUCGCACUUCCCUGAAGCUCCUGCACACAACACCCUUCAGACCGACACACGAGCUUUUAAACAUCCCACUUACACGAAUAUAUCCAAUCUGCCAAGAAUUCAAGCUCUGGAUGUCGAUGUUGGACUCUUUCUAAAGACACAAACAGCGGUGCGAGGACCCCGGGAGGAAUGGGGUAGAGAUUGCGAUGAGGGUCCCGGCACCAAACAGCUCUGAUCAGGCAGAAUCGGGCUCAGGUAAGAUGCCUGAGAAUGGACGCUCAAGGAGGAAACGCGUGCCAAAGACGUGCGACUGCUGCGGGCCCAACGGAAAGCCCCACAUGCCUGGACACGAGCAGGUUUCGAAGAAACGAGGCCGCAAGAAGAAGGAGAUGGUGAGCCAGGGAGAAGUGGCCGCGGAGGAGGAGGUGGUCUGGAGCACGUCCGGAGUCCUCACGCUGGAAGCCGACGCUGUGACUGCUGAGAUGGAGGAGACGCCAGAUGCCAGAGGAAAAGCAGACUUCAUCCAGUCUGAGAGUGUGAGUGACAGCACUGUGAUGGUGAACGGUUUGGAGAACAGCGCUCAUGAUAACUGUACUGAUCCCGCCAAAGAGAACAGCCAUCCAGUCCAGGCUGCUUCUGCUCUACUCAAUGACCUAAUGAAGAAACCCUCUGAUUCUGCCUCGGUGGCUGCAGAGCCGGACGCUUCUCCUCAUAGUAAUGCGA